GUUUAAGGAAGAUGUAGUGGAUGGAAAUUUGGAGUUAAUAACAGUGGAAAUUGACUUCAACAUCAAAGUGGUAUGUAAUAUUUAAUCGAAAACUUCUUUAUUUACAUGGUUUCUAAGAUGAAUGAAGGUUUAGUUAGAAGAAACUGUGGUUUCUUUUAACAUGUUUGUGAUAUAAGGCGAGUCUUGGUGAUUUAAAUUCCCUUUUUAAAUGUUUGGGACUGGAUACAUGCUGCUAUCGAUUAGUGAAGUAAACCGAAAUCACAAUUUAGUUUUACAGGUUGCUUAUUUGCGUCUUAUGUUGCUUCUACUUCUGCAGUUGGAAUGAAGGUUGUCAAGAUCCAUUCUCAUAACAAGCUCAGUCGUUGACCAAGAAAAAAUUAAGGAUUAACCAUUUUGUUGAGACCACUUCCCUCCGGUUUAGACUUAGUGUUUUUAAUAACAGAAAAAAAAAAUUAUUGUUUGUGUAAAUCUUUGAAAAGUUAAGUAAUAUAAAGU
RNAcentral lists this long non-coding RNA (495 nucleotides) under Helianthus annuus (common sunflower). RNAcentral's name for it is "sRNA HanXRQr2_Chr09g0380401". The record is from RNAcentral. Lineage: Eukaryota; Viridiplantae; Streptophyta; Magnoliopsida; Asterales; Asteraceae.